GACAUGAAGUUAGGUCAGCAAACCUGCUGAAUUUAAGCAUAUAAGUAUGCGGAGGAUAAGAAACUAAAUAGGAUUCCCUCAGUAAUGGCGAAUGAACAGGGAUAAGCUCAGCAUGGAAAUCGGUGUCUCUGGCAUUGAAUUGUAGUCUCGAGUUGUACUGCCAACGGAGGCGCAGAUGUAAGCCUCUUGGAAAAGAGCAUCAACGAGGGUGAGAGUCCCGUUUGUCAUCUGCAGUCCCCCGUGCACGGUGUACUUCUAAAGAGUCACGUUCCUCGGAAAUGGAGCGCAAAGUGGGUGGUAAAUUUCAUCUAAAGCUAAAUAUAGGUUCGAGACCGAUAGCAAACAAGUACCAUGAGGGAAAGGUGAAAAGGACUUUGAAAAGAGAGUUAAAAGUGCCUGAAAUUGCUGAAAGGGAAGCGAAUGGAACCAGUGCUUCUUGGCAAGAUUGGUGCGUGCUAAUGUGAUUGCCUGCUGCUUCAGCGCAAGCGUGGUAGUGGGUUUUGAUCAGGACGUGCGUGUUGUUUCUUGCCUUGUGUGUCAACGUCAGUUCUCGAUCGAGGAAAACGCCAGGGACAUGGUAGCUCGUCUUCGGGUGAGUGAAUGUGCUUGGUUGAACUCAUUUGUGAACUGGUUCUUGCGUGUCUGGUUGCAGUGCAUUGUGUCUUCACACCCCUGGGGUGGGUUUCGAUCUUCCGCAGGUGGGGUGGGCGACCGGUGCAUCUCCCUGACACAUCGACGCUGACUAAAUGGUUCUAUUCGACCCGUCUUGAAACACGGACCAAGGA
RNAcentral lists this ribosomal RNA (785 nucleotides) under Kryptoperidinium triquetrum. RNAcentral's name for it is "LSU rRNA". It matches the Rfam family "Eukaryotic large subunit ribosomal RNA", at positions 1 to 672 of the family's 3401-position model. Lineage: Eukaryota; Dinophyceae; Peridiniales; Kryptoperidiniaceae. RNAcentral also lists the same sequence under 1 other name. The record is from RNAcentral.